Molecule: unclassified non-coding RNA, 312 nt
Organism: Erinaceus europaeus (western European hedgehog)
Lineage: Eukaryota; Metazoa; Chordata; Mammalia; Eulipotyphla; Erinaceidae
Gene: 7SK
Rfam family: 7SK RNA
About the family: 7SK was discovered as an abundant small nuclear RNA in the mid-70s but a possible function has only recently been suggested. Two independent studies have found that 7SK RNA binds the CDK9/cyclin T complex (known as elongation factor P-TEFb).
Source: Ensembl
GGAUGUGAGGGCAAUCUGGCUGCUGGCACUCCAUUGAUCGCCAGGGUUAAUUUGGCUGAUCUGGCUGGCUAGGCAGGUGUUCCCUUCCUCCCUCAACACUCCAUGUGCAUCCCUCCCAAAGCAUUGUGCUCCAUUGAAGAGGAUGGCCUUCCCCCAAUAGAUACAGACCAGCCCUAGGUCUAGGGUAUAUGAAUAACUGCACUCCCUUGCUAGAACCUCCAAACAAGCUCUCAAGAAAGCGCAGAAAAAAGGGACUAAAUUAAAUAAAGAUAAUAAAAGAGAGUGUAGGCUAACACCAGGAAUAGUUAUAUA